GCGUGGCGUUGGGAGCGUAGCCGUGGUAGGUGAGCGCAGGGGUGACACGGAAUGGGAGCCGGCCGCGGAGGUGGUUUUCCGUGGUCAAGCACGCAGCCAGUCGCACAGGCAAAUCCGUGCGGCGCGUAUGGCGAGGUGCGAUGAUGGGAGCCGUUUCGGCUCGAUAUCCGGUGGUCCAGGCCGUCGAGAAAAGCCCCGGCGUCAGGCGCGUUGCCGCCCGUACCCCAAACCGACACUGGUGGUCAGGUAGAGAAUACCAAGGCGAUCGAGCGAAUCCUGGUCAAGGAACUCGGCAAACCGCUCCCGUGCCUUCGGCAUAAGGGAGACCCCCGCGGGUGAACGGACAUGCUCCGGGAGCGUGUGGGGGUGGCACAGACCAGGGGGUAGCGACUGUUUACCAAAAACACAGGUGCAUGCGAAGGCGUAAGCCGCUGUAUAUGCACUGACGCCUGCCCGGUGCCGGAAGGUUAAGAGGAUCCGUCAGCCCCUUGGGGGUGAAGCGGUGAAUUCAAGCCCCGGUAAACGGCGGUGGUAACUAUAACCAUCCUAAGGUAGCGAAAUUCCUUGUCGGGUAAGUUCCGACCUGCACGAAUGGCGUAACGACUUCCCCGCUGUCUCGACCAGGAGCUCGGCGAAAUUGCAGUACGAGUAAAGAUGCUCGUUAAGCGCAGAAGGACGAAAAGACCCCGGGACCUUUACUAUACCUUGGUAUUGGCGUCAGUCGCGGAUUGUGUAGCAUAGGCGGGAGGCUUCGAGGCGCGGGCGCCAGCCCGCGCGGAGCCGCAAGGUGAAAUACCGCUCUGUUCUCGUUUGACGUCUCACCUCGAACGGUCAUCCUGUUCAGGGACAGUGCCUGGCGGGUAGUUUAACUGGGGCGGUUGCCUCCCAAAGAGUAACGGAGGCGCUCAAAGGUCCGCUCAGCCCGGUUGGCAAUCGGGUGUCGAGUGCAAUCGCACAAGCGGGCUUGACUGCGAGGACGGCGGUCCGAGCAGGGACGAAAGUCGGAGAUAGUGAUCCGGUGCCGGCGCACGGGCGCGGCAUCGCUCAACGGAUAAAAGGUACCCCGGGGAUAACAGGCUGAUCAUUCCCAAGAGUCCAUAUCGACGGGAUGGUUUGGCACCUCGAUGUCGGCUCGUCGCAUCCUGGGGCUGGAGCAGGUCCCAAGGGUUCGGCUGUUCGCCGAUUAAAGCGGUACGCGAGCUGGGUUCAGAACGUCGUGAGACAGUUUGGUCUCUAUCCUCUGCGCUCGUUGGAAUCCUGGGGAGGCCUGCCCAUAGUACGAGAGGACCUGGGUGGACGAACCUCUGGUAUGCCGGUUGUCGCGCCAGCGGCACGGCCGGUUGGCUACGUUCGGGAGGGAUAACCGCUGAAAGCAUCUAAGCGGGAAGCCUGCUCCGAGAUUAGGAUUCCUUGGGCCCUUCGGGGUCCUGAAGCCCGCAUGUGGAACACGUGUUUGAUAGGCCGGAGGUGGAAGCCCCGCGAGGGGUGGAGCCGACCGGUACUAACGGGCGACGGCGACGU
RNAcentral lists this ribosomal RNA (1521 nucleotides) under metagenome. RNAcentral's name for it is "bacterial LSU rRNA". It matches the Rfam family "Bacterial large subunit ribosomal RNA", at positions 1436 to 2925 of the family's 2925-position model. The record is from RNAcentral.